CAAUAAGCGGCGGAAAAGAAACCAACAGGGAUUGCCUCAGUAACGGCGAGUGAAGCGGCAACAGCUCAAAUUUGAAAUCUGGCCCUGUGCCCGAGUUGUAAUUUGUAGAGGAUGCUUUCGGCGCGGCGCCUUCCGAGUUCCCUGGAACGGGACGCCACAGAGGGUGAGAGCCCCGUAUGGUUGGAUGCCAAGCCAUUGUAUAGCUCCUUCGACGAGUCAAGUAGUUUGGGAAUGCUGCUUAAAAUGGGAGGUAAAUUUCUUCUAAAGCUAAAUACCGGCCAGAGACCGAUAGCGAAAAAGUAGAGUGAUCGAAAGAUGAAAAGCACUUUGAAAAGAGGGUUAAACAGCACGUGAAAUUGUUGAAAGGGAAGCGCUUGUGACCAGACCUGCGCCCUGGGGAUAUCCGGCGUUCUCGCCGGUGCUUUCCGCUGGGUUGCAGGCCAGCAUCGGUUUUCCUAGGGGGACAAAAGCUUCGGGAACGUGGCUCCUUCGGGAGUGUUAUAGCCCGUCGUACAAUACCCUUGGGGGGACCGAGGUACGCGCUCCGCAAGGAUGCUGGCGUAAUGGUCAUCAGCGACCCGUCUUGAAACACGGACCAAGGAGUCAAGCAUUAGGGCGAGUGUAUGGGUGCAAAACCCGCACGCGAAAUGAAAGUGAACGUAGGUGAGAGCUUCGGCGCAUCAUCGACCGAUCCUGAAGUCUUCGGAUGGAUUUGAGUAAGAGCCUUACCGCUUGGACCCGAAAGAUGGUGAACUAUGCCUGUAUAGGGUGAAGCCAGAGGAAACUCUGGUGGAGGCUCGCAGCGGUUCUGACGUGCAAAUCGAUCGUCAAAUAUGGGCAUGGGGGCGAAAGACUAAUCGAACUAUCUAGUAGCUGGUUACCGCCGAAGUUUCCCUCAGGAUAGCAGUGUUGUUUUCAGUUUUAUGAGGUAAAGCGAAUGAUUAGGGACUCGGGGGCGCUAUUUUGCCUUCAUCCAUUCUCAAACUUUAAAUAUGUAAGAAGCCCUUGUUACUUUGUUGAACGUGGGCCUUCGAAUGCAGCAACACUAGUGGGCCAUUUUUGGUAAGCAGAACUGGCGAUGCGGGAUGAACCGAACGCGGGGUUAAGGUGCCAGAGUGGACGCUCAUCAGACACCA
Molecule: ribosomal RNA, 1136 nt
Filed under: Lentomitella cirrhosa
Lineage: Eukaryota; Fungi; Ascomycota; Sordariomycetes; Xenospadicoidales; Xenospadicoidaceae
Description: eukaryotic LSU rRNA
Rfam family: Eukaryotic large subunit ribosomal RNA
Source: RNAcentral